Molecule: ribosomal RNA, 900 nt
Filed under: Chlorencoelia torta
Lineage: Eukaryota; Fungi; Ascomycota; Leotiomycetes; Helotiales; Cenangiaceae
Description: partial large subunit ribosomal RNA
Rfam family: Eukaryotic large subunit ribosomal RNA
Source: RNAcentral
AGCAUAUCAAUAAGCGGAGGAAAAGAAACCAACCGGGAUUGCCUCAGUAACGGCGAGUGAAGCGGCACAAGCUCAAAUUUGAAAUCUGGCCCUCUCAGGGUCCGAGUUGUAAUUUGUAGAAGAUGUUUCAGGUGUGGCCCCGGUCUAAGUUCCUUGGAACAGGACGUCAUAGAGGGUGAGAAUCCCGUAUGUGACUGGGUGCCUAUGCCUAUGUGAAACUCUUUCGACGAGUCGAGUUGUUUGGGAAUGCAGCUCAAAAUGGGUGGUAAAUUUCAUCUAAAGCUAAAUAUUGGCCAGAGACCGAUAGCGCACAAGUAGAGUGAUCGAAAGAUGAAAAGCACUUUGGAAAGAGAGUUAAACAGUACGUGAAAUUGUUGAAAGGGAAGCGCUUGCAAUCAGACUUGCACUGGGGCGAUCAUCCGGGGUUCUCCCCGGUGCACUCGUCCCGGCGCAGGCUAGCAUCGGUUUCUGUGGCUGGAUAAAGGCCUUGGGAAUGUGGCCCCUCUCGAGGGGUGUUAUAGCCCUCGGUGCAAUGCAGCCUACGGGGACCGAGGACCGCGCUUCGGCUAGGAUGCUGGCGUAAUGGUUGUAAGCGACCCGUCUUGAAACACGGACCAAGGAGUCUAACAUCUAUGCGAGUGUUUGGGUGUCAAACCCAUCCGCGUAAUGAAAGUGAACGGAGGUGAGAACCUUGAAGGGUGCAUCAUCGACCGAUCCUGAUGUCUUCGGAUGGAUUUGAGUAAGAGCAUAGCUGUUGGGACCCGAAAGAUGGUGAACUAUGCGUGAAUAGGGUGAAGCCAGAGGAAACUCUGGUGGAGGCUCGCAGCGGUUCUGACGUGCAAAUCGAUCGUCAAAUUUGCGUAUAGGGGCGAAAGACUAAUCGAACCAUCUAGUAGCUGG